This 75-nucleotide transfer RNA is filed under the name Eggerthellaceae bacterium. Its description in RNAcentral is "tRNA-Thr". It matches the Rfam family "tRNA". Rfam says of the family: Transfer RNA (tRNA) molecules are approximately 80 nucleotides in length. RNAcentral also lists the same sequence under 2 other names. The record is from RNAcentral. Lineage: Bacteria; Bacillati; Actinomycetota; Coriobacteriia; Eggerthellales; Eggerthellaceae.
GCCGGCUUGGCUCAACGGUAGAGCAACUGAUUUGUAAUCAGUGGGUUGUGGGUUCGAUUCCUAUAGCCGGCACCA